Molecule: ribosomal RNA, 249 nt
Filed under: Salmonella enterica
Lineage: Bacteria; Pseudomonadati; Pseudomonadota; Gammaproteobacteria; Enterobacterales; Enterobacteriaceae
Description: partial 16S ribosomal RNA
Rfam family: Bacterial small subunit ribosomal RNA
Source: RNAcentral
AAAUUGAAGAGUUUGAUCAUGGCUCAGAUUGAACGCUGGCGGCAGGCCUAACACAUGCAAGUCGAACGGUAACAGGAAGCAGCUUGCUGCUUCGCUGACGAGUGGCGGACGGGUGAGUAAUGUCUGGGAAACUGCCUGAUGGAGGGGGAUAACUACUGGAAACGGUGGCUAAUACCGCAUAACGUCGCAAGACCAAAGAGGGGGACCUUUGGGCCUUUUGCCAUCAGAUGUGCCCAGAUGGGAUUAGCU